Gorilla gorilla gorilla (western lowland gorilla) is the source of this 1452-nucleotide long non-coding RNA. RefSeq lists it as uncharacterized. The transcript is spliced from 2 exons. Lineage: Eukaryota; Metazoa; Chordata; Mammalia; Primates; Hominidae. The record is from RefSeq and is a predicted model, not a curated record.
UGGUUGGUGACCUAACCAUGGAGUGGGCCUGCCUGUUGAGCCAUUCUGCUGUGAAGAGAUGGGGGUAUUCUGUCAAAACGUGGCUAGGAAGAUAGGCUGCAUGUGCAAGCGUGGGAACCACCCCCUUAAAUGGAAUGCGAUGUUGCUCAGCAAGGAAGAACUCCCGAGACAUCCUUCCACCGUCGUGCCAAUGGAGGGCACGGCGCCGGCUUCCUUCCUGAGUCACUCACUGUUUACGGGCAGCCGCUGGCUUCCAGGCCGCGUCCCCUCCAGUAAAAAGGGGGCGUGCUUGGUAGAGAUCCUUGAGACCUUUGAUGGCAGGAUAUGAAACAAGGCCAGGCCCCGAAACAAGGCCAGGCCCCAUUAUAGGGCAAUUACCCUUCAGGCUGAUUGGUGCAGAGACGCUGUAAACGCACCUUUGCGGAACACAGACGACACAGGAAAGGCGUUUGGCAGUAAUACUACGACACCGAGGGGCCCGGGAAGCCCGCGGAAACGCAGGAGGCGGGCAGGAGAGGCAGGGCUACGCACAUCCCACCCUCGGAGCCCUGUCCUAGCUUAGGCUGAGACAACUGGGAGGGGCUGGCUUUUUUGUUCCCCUCUUUCCCCGCAACCUGCCAGAGGGAACUGGAGAGAGGGGUCCUUCUAGCUUUAGGCACACUUAAAGCAGCCUGCCAGGAAGGAAAUGCGGGGGCUCCACCUUAGAGGCGGUCGAGGCCAGCGUGAAAGCACAGGGUGGCGACCACUUCCCCCACCGCCCACCCCGGUUCUCAUCCCCGGGCUACCCUCCUGCCUCCUGCCUCCUGCCCAGAGCCCAGACUACAUGCAACGCCGUGCGCUAGAUCCUGGAGAUGCCACGAUGAAGGUGGGAGGUGACAUUUUAAAAUAUCCCUCAAUUCCAGCACUUUGAGCGGCCGAGGGGGGCGGAUCACUUGAGGUUAGGAGUUCGAGACCAGCCUGGCCAACAUGGUAAAACCCUGUCUCUACUAAAAAUAAAAGAAUUCGCCGGGCAUAGUGAUGCACGCCUGUAAUCCCAGCUACUCCGGAGGCUGAGGCAGGAGAAUCACUUGAACCCAGGAGAGGUUGCAGUGAGCCGAGAUCGUGCCACUGCACUCCAGCCUGGGUGAAAAAGCCAGACCUUGUCUCAAAACAGCAGCAGCAGCAGCAGCAGCAGCAGCAGCAGCAACAACAAAGCCACAACAAUACUGAUGGAGGUUUUCUCCCCAGCUUCCUGCCUCUAGUCUGCACUGCCCAAUAGGAAGCCACUAGCCACAUGUGGCCAUUGAGCUCUUGAAAUGUGGCUGGCGCUGUCAGUGUAAAAUAUGCACCAAGAUCAGAAGGCUUGGUAUAAAGAAAAAACAAAUUAUCUCAUUAAUAACCUUUUUAUAUUGAUUACAUGUUGAAAUAAUAACAUUUUGGAUAUAUGGGUCAAAUAAACUAUAUUAAAAUUAA